Suricata suricatta (meerkat) is the source of this 479-nucleotide long non-coding RNA. RefSeq lists it as uncharacterized. The transcript has 3 exons. Lineage: Eukaryota; Metazoa; Chordata; Mammalia; Carnivora; Herpestidae. The record is from RefSeq and is a predicted model, not a curated record.
CAGAGCUAGGCGUGCCUGGGUGCCGGUCUCCUUGUGGCCCUUGUCUGAGGGGUGCGUGAAGUGCCUGGCCUGAUCACCCCUCACCUGGCUCUGGUCCUGGCUGCCCUUUACCCUCGUCGGCCACCUCGCAGGCCACCGGCGGCCUUCUCUCUCUCCUUUAGGGAAGCCGCCCGACCUCUGGGACGAGCCUGGGAGCUCAGCCUGGAGUACUCUCAUCUGGAGUGGAGACUAGCGCCGCCCCGGGCGGCAGGAAGGCGAGUGAGGCCACCUGUCAGCGCGUCGGAGUCUCCAGGCUGGGUAGUUUACUUGCACCUGGGCGGCGCGCGAGGCCGAGGCCAAGGCCGUGCCUGGGUCAGCGUUCCACGCGCGCGGAAGAGAACUGCGGGGUGCGGUGGCCAGUGGAGCCGCGUAAGAAUCUUUGAAGGGAAGAAAUUAGUGUUUGCUCGAGAGAGACAGAGUAUGAGAGGGGGAGGGGCAGA